GGUUUUUAGAAAUUAUUAAAAAUCAAACCUGCUCAAUGCUUAUGUAAAUAGCCGCAGUAUUUUGACUGUGCAAAGGUAGCAUAAUAAUUAGCCUUUUAAUUGAAGGCUGGAAUGAAAGGUUAAACUAAUUAAUUUUGUCUCAUAGUAAUAUUUUGAAAUUCAUAUUUUAGUAAAAAAGCUAAAAUAAUAUUUAAAGACAAGAAGACCCUAUCGAGCUUUACAAAAUUGAAUUUAUACUUCUUAGAGUAAAUUCCUUUUGUUUUACUGGGGCAGUAAAUAAAAAAUUUUUAUUUAUAUAUUGUGAGUUUUCAUUCUUGUAAAAUCAAAAAAUUUUUAAAUAAAAAUAAGUUACCGUAGGGAUAACAGCGUAAUUUUUUUUAAGAGAACAUAUCGUCAAAAAAGUUUGCGACCUCGAUGUUGGAUUAAGAUUCCUAUUUGGCGCAAAAGCAAAAUUAGGAGGUCUGUUCGACCUUUAAAUUCUUCCA
Molecule: ribosomal RNA, 485 nt
Filed under: Didymocentrus lesueurii
Lineage: Eukaryota; Metazoa; Arthropoda; Arachnida; Scorpiones; Diplocentridae
Description: partial 16S ribosomal RNA
Rfam family: Bacterial large subunit ribosomal RNA
Source: RNAcentral